GCCCGCCUGAGGCGGCUCGCAGGUAUCGCAAAGUCGGGCUGGUGUAGCGCGCUGCUCCCACGCGCUGCAUGAGAUGGUGCGGGGGAUUGUUCGCUGAUUGGGCGGCUGUGCCCCGGCCGGCGGAGACGUUGAAGCGCAGCCUACGCACGUAGAAGCGGUUUCGGAUCGAGGCUCGGACCGGGGUUCGAAUCCCCGCGCCUCCAUCA
RNAcentral lists this transfer-messenger RNA (206 nucleotides) under Gemmatimonadetes bacterium RBG_16_66_8. RNAcentral describes it as "partial transfer-messenger RNA". It matches the Rfam family "transfer-messenger RNA", at positions 157 to 374 of the family's 374-position model. Rfam says of the family: Bacterial tmRNA, also known as 10Sa RNA or SsrA, is named for its dual tRNA and mRNA-like properties. The record is from RNAcentral. Lineage: Bacteria; Pseudomonadati; Gemmatimonadota.